UACGAAGGGGGCUAGCGUUGUUCGGAAUUACUGGGCGUAAAGCGCACGUAGGCGGGUUGUUAAGUCAGGGGUGAAAUCCUGGAGCUCAACUCCAGAACUGCCUUUGAUACUGGCAACCUAGAGACUGGGAGAGGUUAGUGGAAUUCCCAGUGUAGAGGUGAAAUUCGUAGAUAUUGGGAAGAACACCAGUGGCGAAGGCGGCUAACUGGUCCAGCACUGACGCUGAGGUGCGAAAGCGUGGGGAGCAAACAGG
RNAcentral lists this ribosomal RNA (253 nucleotides) under uncultured bacterium. RNAcentral describes it as "partial 16S ribosomal RNA". It matches the Rfam family "Bacterial small subunit ribosomal RNA", at positions 524 to 776 of the family's 1533-position model. The record is from RNAcentral.